Molecule: ribosomal RNA, 237 nt
Filed under: uncultured bacterium
Lineage: Bacteria
Description: partial 16S ribosomal RNA
Rfam family: Bacterial small subunit ribosomal RNA
Source: RNAcentral
UUAUUCGGAAUCACUGGGCUUAAAGCGCGUGUAGGCGGAUGAGCACGUCUGUCGCUGAAAUCCCCCGGCUCAACCGGGGAACGGGCGCGGAUACGGCUCGUCUCGAGGGGCGUAGGGGGACCUGGAACUUCCGGUGGAGCGGUGAAAUGCGUUGAGAUCGGAAGGAGCGCCCGUGGCGAAAGCGAGGUCCUGAACGCCUACUGACGCUGAGACGCGAAAGCCAGGAGAGCGAACGGG